UGGGGAAUUUUGGACAAUGGGGGAAACCCUGAUCCAGCCAUCCCGCGUGUGCGAUGAAGGCCUUCGGGUUGUAAAGCACUUUUGGCAGGAAAGAAACGUCAUGGGUUAAUACCCCGUGAAACUGACGGUACCUGCAGAAUAAGCACCGGCUAACUACGUGCCAGCAGCCGCGGUAAUACGUAGGGUGCAAGCGUUAAUCGGAAUUACUGGGCGUAAAGCGUGCGCAGGCGGUUCGGAAAGAAAGAUGUGAAAUCCCAGAGCUCAACUUUGGAACUGCAUUUUUAACUACCGGGCUAGAGUGUGUCAGAGGGAGGUGGAAUUCCGCGUGUAGCAGUGAAAUGCGUAGAUAUGCGGAGGAACACCGAUGGGGAAGGCAGCCUCCUGGGAUAACACUGACGCUCAUGCACGAAAGCGUGGGGAGCAAACAGG
Molecule: ribosomal RNA, 429 nt
Filed under: Acidobacteriota bacterium
Lineage: Bacteria; Pseudomonadati; Acidobacteriota
Description: Acidobacteria bacterium partial 16S ribosomal RNA
Rfam family: Bacterial small subunit ribosomal RNA
Source: RNAcentral